This 439-nucleotide ribosomal RNA is filed under the name uncultured bacterium. RNAcentral describes it as "partial 16S ribosomal RNA". It matches the Rfam family "Bacterial small subunit ribosomal RNA", at positions 339 to 795 of the family's 1533-position model. The record is from RNAcentral.
CUACGGGGUGCUCCAGUGGGGAAUAUUGCACAAUGGAGGAAACUCUGAUGCAGCAACGCCGCGUGGAGGAUGACACUUUUCGGAGCGUAAACUCCUUUUAUAGAGGAAGAAGAUGACGGUACUAUAUGAAUAAGCGCCGGCUAACUCCGUGCCAGCAGCCGCGGUAAUACGGAGGGCGCAAGCGUUACUCGGAAUCACUGGGCGUAAAGAGCGUGUAGGCGGAUUAAAAAGUUAGAAGUGAAAUCCUAUAGCUUAACUAUAGAACUGCUUCUGAAACUCUUAAUCUAGAAUAUGGGAGAGGUAGAUGGAAUUUCUGGUGUAGGGGUAAAAUCCGUAGAGAUCAGAAGGAAUACCGAUUGCGAAGGCGAUCUACUAGAACAUUAUUGACGCUGAGACGCGAAAGCGUGGGGAGCAAACAGGAUUAGAUACCCCAGUAGUC